UACGGAGGGAGCUAGCGUUGUUCGGAAUCACUGGGCGUAAAGCGCACGUAGGCGGCUAUUCAAGUCAGAGGUGAAAGCCCGGGGCUCAACCCCGGAACUGCCUUUGAAACUAGAUGGCUAGAAUCUUGGAGAGGCGAGUGGAAUUCCGAGUGUAGAGGUGAAAUUCGUAGAUAUUCGGAAGAACACCAGUGGCGAAGGCGACUCGCUGGACAAGUAUUGACGCUGAGGUGCGAAAGCGUGGGGAGCAAACAGG
This 253-nucleotide ribosomal RNA is filed under the name uncultured bacterium. Its description in RNAcentral is "partial 16S ribosomal RNA". It matches the Rfam family "Bacterial small subunit ribosomal RNA", at positions 524 to 776 of the family's 1533-position model. The record is from RNAcentral.